This 726-nucleotide ribosomal RNA is filed under the name Bacillus halotolerans. Its description in RNAcentral is "bacterial SSU rRNA". It matches the Rfam family "Bacterial small subunit ribosomal RNA", at positions 13 to 724 of the family's 1533-position model. The record is from RNAcentral. Lineage: Bacteria; Bacillati; Bacillota; Bacilli; Caryophanales; Bacillaceae.
UAGAGCCUGGCUCAGGACGAACGCUGGCGGCGUGCCUAAUACAUGCAAGUCGAGCGGACAGAUGGGAGCUUGCUCCCUGAUGUUAGCGGCGGACGGGUGAGUAACACGUGGGUAACCUGCCUGUAAGACUGGGAUAACUCCGGGAAACCGGGGCUAAUACCGGAUGCUUGUUUGAACCGCAUGGUUCAAACAUAAAAGGUGGCUUCGGCUACCACUUACAGAUGGACCCGCGGCGCAUUAGCUAGUUGGUGAGGUAACGGCUCACCAAGGCAACGAUGCGUAGCCGACCUGAGAGGGUGAUCGGCCACACUGGGACUGAGACACGGCCCAGACUCCUACGGGAGGCAGCAGUAGGGAAUCUUCCGCAAUGGACGAAAGUCUGACGGAGCAACGCCGCGUGAGUGAUGAAGGUUUUCGGAUCGUAAAGCUCUGUUGUUAGGGAAGAACAAGUACCGUUCGAAUAGGGCGGUACCUUGACGGUACCUAACCAGAAAGCCACGGCUAACUACGUGCCAGCAGCCGCGGUAAUACGUAGGUGGCAAGCGUUGUCCGGAAUUAUUGGGCGUAAAGGGCUCGCAGGCGGUUCCUUAAGUCUGAUGUGAAAGCCCCCGGCUCAACCGGGGAGGGUCAUUGGAAACUGGGGAACUUGAGUGCAGAAGAGGAGAGUGGAAUCCACGUGUAGCGGUGAAAUGCGUAGAGAUGGGAGGAACACCAGUGCGAAGGCGA